This 440-nucleotide ribosomal RNA is filed under the name uncultured bacterium. Its description in RNAcentral is "partial 16S ribosomal RNA". It matches the Rfam family "Bacterial small subunit ribosomal RNA", at positions 338 to 795 of the family's 1533-position model. The record is from RNAcentral.
CCUACGGGUGACUGCAGUGGGGAAUAUUGGACAAUGGGGGGAACCCUGAUCCAGCGACGCCGCGUGAGUGAAGAAGUAUUUCGGUAUGUAAAGUUCUAUCAGUAGAGAAGAAAAUGACGGUACCUGACUAAGAAGCCCCGGCUAACUACGUGCCAGCAGCCGCGGUAAUACGUAGGGGGCAAGCGUUAUCCGGAUUUACUGGGUGUAAAGGGAGCGUAGACGGUGCAGCAAGUCUGAUGUGAAAGGCCGGGGCCCAACCCCGGGACUGCAUUGGAAACUGUUGAACUGGAGUACAGGAGAGGUGAGCGGAAUUCCUAGUGUAGCGGUGAAAUGCGUAGAUAUUAGGAGGAACACCAGUGGCGAAGGCGGCUUACUGGACUGUAACUGACGUUGAUGCUCGAAAGUGUGGGUAUCAAACAGGAUUAGAUACCCGGGUAGUC